AACGCGAAUAACCUUACCUGGGCUCGAAGCGCAGUGGACCGGGGUAGAAAUAUCCCUUCCCCUUAAAAGGCUGCUGCGGAGGUGCUGCAUGGCUGUCGUCAGCUCGUGUCGUGAGAUGUUGGGUUAAGUCCCGCAACGAGCGCAACCCUUAUCCCUAGUUGCCAUCGGGUCAAGCCGGGCACUCUAGUGAAACUGCCUCGGAUAACGAGGAGGAAGGUGGGGAUGACGUCAAGUCCUCAUGGCCUUUAUGUCCAGGGCUACACACACGCUACAAUGGGCGAGACAACGGGUAGCCAACCCGCGAGGGGGAGCCAAUCCCAGCAAACUCGCUCUCAGUUCGGAUGGCAGGCUGCAACCCGCCUGCCUGAAGCCGGAGUUGCUAGUAACCGUGGGUCAGCACACCACGGUGAAUACGUUCCCGGGUCUUGUACACACCG
This 437-nucleotide ribosomal RNA is filed under the name uncultured bacterium. RNAcentral describes it as "bacterial SSU rRNA". It matches the Rfam family "Bacterial small subunit ribosomal RNA", at positions 958 to 1392 of the family's 1533-position model. The record is from RNAcentral.